Molecule: long non-coding RNA, 512 nt
Filed under: Equus caballus (horse)
Lineage: Eukaryota; Metazoa; Chordata; Mammalia; Perissodactyla; Equidae
Description: lncRNA (ENSECAG00000058312.1)
Source: RNAcentral
AAUGGCCCCCACCUGUGUCCGUAUCAGCACGCCUGGACCAGCUCAGAACAACGGCCCCCACCAAUGUCUCAGUCUCCAGAGAGGAUCCUCCUCUCACUAAGAUGCCCCCAGAGCCCACCAGAGAUCUUCCCCUGAGGCGUUCAAUGGAUUCAUCUGACAGAAGCGGAUAAACCUCCUCACCAGAGAAGUGGGGCACCUCAUGCCCAGGCUGCCAUCGCUUACCCGCGCGCUCCAGAAGCCGCAGAGGAAAGAGCAUCCUUCUUCCCAUCCCCAGAGAGCCAGGAGUGGGCUCAGGAUCCAAGCUCAGCUACAAAGAUGUUCAUGCCAAGAGUAGUCUAGGAAUCUCCGAUGACAGUGCUGCAGUGUCCCCACAGCAGAGAGAGUGCCCCACAGCACACGGCUGCAUCCUGGCUGGAUUGUCUCUUGUGAAGGUAGAUUUGCCAUUUUUCUUGAUUUUGGAACUUUAAGGUUGUCUUGGUUACUGUGUAUUUUGUAAGCUGGACUUUUCACCC